CUGUUUACCUAAAGGAUCGGGCCUGUUUACCUAAAGGAUCGGGACUGUUUACCUAAAGGAUCGGGACUGUUUACCUAAAGGAUCGGGACUGUUUACCUAAAGGAACGGGCCUGGGUAGUGUUCAGGGGGCACAACAUGAAGAAAACCAGCAUCAACGUGUCCAAUUUUGAAAUGUUUUGCCACGGUGUGCCCUACUGAACACAACCUAGGACUGUGGUAAUAAUAUUUGACUCGUGUCAUGUGACAGGGGAUUGAGGCAGAAAGGGAUAUGGGACUUGUGUCAUGUGACAGGGGAGUGAGGCAGCCAGGGAUAUGGGACUUGUGUCAUGUGACAGGGGAGUGAGGCAGCCAGGGAUAUGGGAUUCGUGUCAUGUGACAGGGGAAUGAGGCAGCCAGGGAUAUGGGACUCGUGUCAUGUGACAGGGGAGUGAGGCAGCCAGGGAUAUGGGACUCGUGUCAUGUGACAGGGGAGUGAGGCAGCCAGGGUUGAUGUGCCCCUGCAUGCCUUUUCUCCAGCUAGGCAUCUCUAGAGUAAAUAAACAAAUGGAGUAGCAGCACAUAUUUCCACGGAAGGUUCUCCUCGUCCUGCUCCGAACACAGGAAGAGAUAAGAGAACCAGGAAAGGGGGGGGUGAGGGGGAGGACAGAACUCAAACGCAGAACUUAAUCAAGCUGAGGGGAAAAGACUUCAUUUAACUCUGUCGUGUCUGAAAUGAAGUCUGAAUUGAGCACAACAAGGCUCUACUUUAACUGAUAUCAAAAUCAACCGCCAUUCUGUCUGGCGUGUGAUGAGCUUACAGCCAAACAGAGUUUUUACAUUUGCUCUGCAUCUUCAUUGGUUAAUCUACCUGCCUGAUCUUUUUCUGAAGUCCAAUGGGAGCCCAGCAUUCUAGGACAACUUCAAAACCCUCCCAUGGGAGGCUAGUGAACAGCUCGUUAAGAUUACUGUGUGGCCCCACAGAUGGACCGUGGGACAGGGGGCGGUGUGUGUGAGUGCGACCCCAGGCUGACUGAACCCUGCCUGGGGAAGAGAGGAGGACGGUAGGGGGUGAUACCUGGAAGUGGCAUGGAGCAUAGCUACAGGCAGGGGGGGCAGGUAAGCUAAUGCUAGCAGGAGAGUAGGGCAGGUAAGCUACUGUCUGCUGGUGGGACAGGGACCUCUGGAUCACAUAGGGGUUAUAGAGGUAGUGCUGGGGGAACACAGGUACAGAUUACACACACGUCACCUACCAAAUACAAAACGCCAAACUAGUAGCUAGUUCCAUGAACGUGUCAGAAACACUGAACAGAUGAAAACAUUUGAUUCUAACAGACACAGAUGUGACAACACAGAUCUCCUGUGGACUAGUAUGAACAGGGGAUGGUAUUAUGAUCCAAUAAUGACACAUGACAGUUAGUGAAGCUAAAGGAAUGGAGAGAGAGAGAGAGAGAGCAGAAAUGAGAUAGACAAGAGAAGGAAGACGAGGUCAUCCUAGGGGAGGACGACGAGUUCAUCCUAGGGGAGGACGACGAGUUCAUCCUAGGGGAGGACGACGAGUUCAUCCUAGGGGAGGACGACGAGUUCAUCCUAGGGGAGGACGACGAGUUCAUCCUAGGGGAGGACGACGAGUUCAUCCUAGGGGAGGACGACGAGUUCAUCCUAGGGGAGGACGAGGUCAUUCUAGGGGAGGACGAGGUCAUUCUAGGGGAGGACGAGGUCAUUCUAGGGGAGGACGAGGUCAUUCUAGGGGAGGACGAGGUCAUUCUAGGGGAGGACGAGGUCAUUCUAGGGGAGGACGAGGUCAUUCUAGGGGAGGACGAGGUCAUUCUAGGGGAGGACGAGGUCAUUCUAGGGGAGGACGAGUUCAUUCUAGGGGAGGACGAGUUCAUUCUAGGGGAGGACGAGUUCAUUCUAGGGGAGGACGAGUUCAUUCUAGGGGAGGACGAGUUCAUUCUAGGGGAGGAUGAUUGAAAGGCUGCUUGUUUCAGAGAGGAAGAAAGAGGAGCUGGUUGAUCAACAUGGAUGGACUGAAGCUGAAUGAGUAAAAGGAGACUGAUGAUGGAUGGAGUGUAGGGACCAAUCUCAAAUCCCCCCUAAACCCUACGCCCUGCACCCUAAACCCUACGCCCUUGUGGAGAACAGAGGAUAUAACAAGCAUAGGUAAUAUGAUGAGAGCUCCACUUGUUCUCUGAUAGGCUAGUUGGAACUUCCACCAAUCAAAUCCUCUCAGAUCUCCACAAG
Long non-coding RNA from Oncorhynchus keta (chum salmon), 2220 nucleotides. RefSeq lists it as uncharacterized. The transcript has 3 exons. The record is from RefSeq and is a predicted model, not a curated record. Lineage: Eukaryota; Metazoa; Chordata; Actinopteri; Salmoniformes; Salmonidae.